UUUGCUAUCAAAUUCUCUGAUAAGGUCAACACCUGUGGUCACUGUAUACAAUUGUAUGUAGGAGGUUAUUUGUCACGUAUAUAAUGCGGAUUCGGUUCGUAAAUAUCAAUAAUUCUGGAGAUAAUUCUAAUCAAAACAUCAAUAUGUCAUAUUAACUAUUAAGCCAGUCUCCCCUAUAUAUAAAACCGCUUCAAUGAAACGUUUAUAUAACAGUGCUCAUGUUGUCAAGGAAAACGCAGUCUCAUCGUAAACAUUGUAUUCAACAACAGUCUGAACAGAACUUUUCAAAAUAACAAUAAGGAUGACUAUUCCAAAUGAUGUAGAACCAAAUGUUCGGAAUCCAAAUAUUCCAUAUGAAACCUUUCGACGUAUGACAUUUUCAUUCACGUAUGAUGAACAGGAAAUAUUAGAUUUAUUCAAGUUAAAUAAUUCUAAUUUUAUACUUAAAGAAAUUUAUCUAAGUAUAAGCCUGGGAUCAAUAGCAAAACGUUAUUGUUCAUUGUUUUGCCUACGCAUUGAUGAAGAGAACAAUAAUUAUCAAAUCAAUUUGAUGGGACUUCAUCGUCAAUUUCAGACUAUUAUAGGUCUUCAAACAUAUAACCAAUUUAGUCGAUGUGUGAAAUGUCGUAAAUAUUUGACUGUUAUUAGUUUUAAUACGUCAUAUCCUGUAACAAGGGUUCCAUUUUACUCAUACGAGAUAAAACUGUCAGAGAUAGAUAUGACUCUAUAAUCCAUUCCAUUUCUAAUUUGGAUUUGGAAGAUAUUAUUUAUAAUCACAUCCACAUGAUAGAGUAAAAAAAUUACUUAUUCACAUACAUUUGGAUCACGGAUGAUGAAAGUACGAUAGUAACAUAGUGUUAUAGCUGUUAUUAACUUACAAUAUCUGGUCGCAUGAACAUAAUCAUUGAGUGAGUCUCACACACACACACACACACACACACAAACACAUAUACUAUAAUAAAAUAUUCAACUUUGUUUU
This 979-nucleotide unclassified non-coding RNA is filed under the name Acyrthosiphon pisum (pea aphid). RNAcentral describes it as "uncharacterized LOC100571182, transcript variant X3". The record is from RNAcentral. Lineage: Eukaryota; Metazoa; Arthropoda; Insecta; Hemiptera; Aphididae.